RNAcentral lists this ribosomal RNA (900 nucleotides) under CFB group bacterium epibiont of Rimicaris exoculata. RNAcentral's name for it is "bacterial SSU rRNA". It matches the Rfam family "Bacterial small subunit ribosomal RNA", at positions 141 to 1041 of the family's 1533-position model. Lineage: Bacteria; Pseudomonadati. The record is from RNAcentral.
GGAUAGCCCAGAGAAAUUUGGAUUAAUACUUAUAAUAUUUUAAUCGAUUGAUUGAAUCUUAAAGAUUUAUCGGUUAGAGAUGGGAUGCGUGACAUUAGCAGAUGGUAAGGUAACGGCUUACCAUGGCGACGAUGUCUAGGGGUUCUGAGAGGAAGAUCCCCCACACUGGUACUGAGACACGGACCAGACUCCUACGGGAGGCAGCAGUGAGGAAUAUUGGUCAAUGGACGCAAGUCUGAACCAGCCUGCCGCGUGAAGGAUGACUGCCCUAUGGGUUGUAAACUUCUUUUAUAGAGGAAGAAACUUAUCACAGUAGAUAACUGACGGUACUCUACGAAUAAGGACCGGAUAACUCCGUGCAGCAGCCGCGGUAAUACGGAGGGUCCAAGCGUUAUCCCGGAUUUAUUGGGUUUAAAGGGUCCGUAGGCGGGGUUUUAAGUCAGUGGUGAAAUCCUACAGCUCACUGUAGAACUGCCUUGAAACUGGAACUCUUGAAUGUGAUUGAAGUAGGCGGAAUAUGUCAUGUAGCGGUGAAAUGCUUAGAUAUGACAUAGAACACCGAUAGCCAAGGCAGCUUACUAAGUCAUAAUUGACGCUGAUGGACGAAAGCGUGGGGAGCCAACAGGAUUAGAUACCCCUGGUAGUCCACCCCCGUAAACGAUGAUUACUAGCUAUUGGCGAUAUACAGUCAGUGGCACAGCGAAAGUGUUAAAGUAAUCCCCCCUGGGGAGUACGAUCCCCAAGGUUGAAACUCAAAGGAAUUGACGGGGGCCCCGCACAAGCGGUGGAGCAUGUGGUUUUAAUUCCAUGAUACCCCAGGAACCUCUACCAGGGCUUAAAAUGCAUAUUGACACGCGUAGGAAACUAACUUUUUUUCUUCGGAACAACUUUGCAAGGUGA